RNAcentral lists this ribosomal RNA (163 nucleotides) under uncultured bacterium. RNAcentral describes it as "partial 16S rRNA". It matches the Rfam family "Bacterial small subunit ribosomal RNA", at positions 356 to 511 of the family's 1533-position model. The record is from RNAcentral.
UGGGAAUUUUGGACAAUGGGCGCAAGCCUGAUCCAGCAAUGCCGCGUGAGUGAAGAAGGCCUUCGGGUUGUAAAGCUCUUUUGUCAGGGAAGAAACGGCUGUGGCUAAUAUCCAUGGCUAAUGACGGUACCUGAAGAAUAAGCACCGGCUAACUACGCGCCAG